RNAcentral lists this ribosomal RNA (492 nucleotides) under uncultured bacterium. RNAcentral describes it as "partial 16S ribosomal RNA". It matches the Rfam family "Bacterial small subunit ribosomal RNA", at positions 28 to 506 of the family's 1533-position model. The record is from RNAcentral.
GACGAACGCUGGCGGCGUGCUUAACACAUGCAAGUCGAACGGUGAAGCGCCUUCCUUUUGGUGGGUGUGGAUGAGUGGCGAACGGGUGAGUAACACGUGAGUAACCUGCCCCCUUCUUCUGGAUAACCGCAUGAAAGUGUGGCUAAUACGGGAUAUUCUGGGUCUGUCGCAUGAUGGGUCUGGGAAAGAUAUUGUUUCGGUGGGGGAUGGGCUCGCGGCCUAUCAGCUUGUUGGUGGGGUGAUGGCCUACCAAGGCGGUGACGGGUAGCCGGCCUGAGAGGGUGGACGGUCACACUGGGACUGAGACACGGCCCAGACUCCUACGGGAGGCAGCAGUGGGGAAUAUUGCACAAUGGGCGCAAGCCUGAGGCAGCGACGCCGCGUGAGGGAUGGAGGCCGUCGGGUUGUGAACCUCUUUCGCCAGUGAAGCAGGCCUGCCUCGUUUGUGGGUGGGUUGACGGUAGCUGGAUAAGAAGCGCCGGCUAACUACGU